AGGGCCUUCACGAAGACUAAGUCUUAUCUAGAACUUCCAGUUCCUCAAACAGAACAGCAACAACUGAAAGGUCCACCAACUUCUGGGGACAACACUGAAACGUACUGGGGCCUCAAAGCACUUCAGCCAGCCAAGCCGACCGCGCCAGUUGCACCCUACCACCUUCACACUAACGAAAGGCUAAGACACGCGCGUCCUGCCUCUCCGCUCGCAAACCAAACUCACGCCAGAGCCACAGACUCACGGUACGCGAGGGCAGCUGUCGGCGAGACCAGGCUGAAAGCGGAGCGACCCCGACGGAGCCGGGAUCGGCCGCGCCAGCAGCAAAGACGUCGCCGCGGCUCCCGGGCGGCUCGCCGCUGGGUUCGGCUCGCCUCGGCUCGCGCCCGGGAGCCGCGCGGCCGCAGGGCCGAGACGGUUCCCGCGGCACAUGCCCGAGCCGAGGCCCGAGCCGAGCCCCUCGCGGCGCCAGGGCCGCCCGCCCCGCCGGGCCGCCGCCCCUGCGGGGCCUGUCAGGGCGCCGGGACCCCCUACGCCGAGCCGCCCCGACCCGGCCCGACGCCCCCCUGCGGCGGCCGGCCCGCCCGCGGCUCACCUGGGACUGUCGGGGUGUCUCGCAUGGCGGGUGCCCGGCCCGUCCCCUGCCCGCUCCCACCGCCGCUUCCCGCCCGCUCCCGCAGCUCUUCGCACCCGGAAACGAUUCCGCUGGCGGCGCUUCCGCUUCCUGGUGACGCGCGCCGGCAGCGGGCGCGGAGCCCUCCCGAGGCCGCCGGGGGGCGCGGGUGGGGCGGGGCCGGGCCCCGUCUCGGCGCCUCCCUGCGCUGCUGGGCCCGGCGCCGCGGCGCGCCCGCGGACCUCGGCGUCUCCCUCGCCGUAAAGCUGCCGCACGAGGAAAUGAAGGAGUUUAAGCUGCAGCUGCAACCUGCGGACAGCAGCGGGAACGGGCCUCCGAAAUCCUGCCUCGGAGCACGCGUUCCGAGACGUAGCAGGAGCGAGGAACGUGGAAGAGAAAACAAGACAGAUUCCCACGAACAGCUCAGCGUUACGGCACACGUAGUAAUUUCCGGAAACGUAUGGUCCGACAUAUUUAGAGACCAACUUUUCUUCCUCCUCUUCCCCUCUCCCCUUUUUCUUGUAAACACUGGGUGCCGGGCGCAUUGCAGAUGA
This 1167-nucleotide long non-coding RNA is filed under the name Anas platyrhynchos platyrhynchos (common mallard). RNAcentral's name for it is "lncRNA (ENSAPLG00000024425.1)". The record is from RNAcentral. Lineage: Eukaryota; Metazoa; Chordata; Aves; Anseriformes; Anatidae.